AAAAUAGUUUUAACAUAAACCGUUUUCAACUUGGUAAGUGGAAAACAUUUUGGUUUCCACCAUAAGUGGCCCACACAACUCUGAUUUUUUUACCUUAAAGCGGCGCAGACCCCGCCCACUCCAGCCAUUCCUUCAGGCUGCCCGGGCUCUUCUCUCCGCGCAUGCGCAGUUUCCUACAGGCCCGGAAACGGAUCGCGUUGGGUGAAGGUGACGGCGUCGAGCGUGAGUGACCCUCUGUGUAGAUUAAACCUGCGCUCCCUGUUUCCCAUUUCCACAGCCGAUGUCCAGGGUCGAUACGGCCCUUAAAAUCCCCGUACACUCCACCCCAGCAUUGACUUCCAAAGACUCCUGGCACAUGAGGAAGAAACCCAGAAGAGGAGAGCAAAGGAGUCAGGAAUGGCUUUUACUCAGAUCUGUCUCGUAACUGUGUAAUCAAGGAACUAGCACCACAACAGGAAGGUAACCCAGGAGAAGUAUUCCACACAGUGACAUUGGAACAACAUGAAAAACAUGACAUUGAAGAGUUUUGCUUCAGGGAAAUCAAGAAAAAAAUACACGACUUUGACUGUCAGUGGAGAGAUG
Molecule: long non-coding RNA, 582 nt
Filed under: Homo sapiens (human)
Lineage: Eukaryota; Metazoa; Chordata; Mammalia; Primates; Hominidae
Description: non-protein coding lnc-ZNF415-2:9
Source: RNAcentral